RNAcentral lists this long non-coding RNA (869 nucleotides) under Equus caballus (horse). Its description in RNAcentral is "lncRNA (ENSECAG00000050781.1)". The record is from RNAcentral. Lineage: Eukaryota; Metazoa; Chordata; Mammalia; Perissodactyla; Equidae.
AAUUUAGUGUGGAGAUAGCAAUUUUGGUGAGUCCAUAGGUAUGAUGGUGGGUUUGAUGCUACAUAGGUGAUGGAAGCUUAGCCUUGGGGCACAAUGAUAUCCUGUCUUGACUUGUGUUUUGUUAGCUAGUUUGACAUCCCUUAUGGAAAAGCAAUUCAUAGGAAAGGUUUGAUAUGAAGAGGAGGAAAGACCAAAGUAUUUCUCUUUUCUCGAUCUCUUCGAUUUCCCUUUUCUCCUGCUAGGGUUUCCAAAACUUAGGAGCUCCGAAGACUCCAGAAAGAUGUCUUCUCAACAGCAGCAGUGCAAGCAGCCCUGCCAGCCCCCUCCUGUGUGCCCACCUAAGUGCCCAGAGCCGUGCCCGCCCCCAAAAUGCCCUGAGCCGUGCCCACCCCCACAGAGGCAGCAGAAAUGCCCUCCUGUGCAACCUCCUCCACCAUGCCAGCAGAAGUGCCCGCCCAAGAGCAAGUAACAGCUUCAGCAGCAUCAGGAUCUGGAAAAGAGAAGGACCAUUGGCUCGCCUGCUUCCACAGCUCCACCUUCACCUUCUCUUCCGAGCCUAUCAUGGUGGCAGAAGCGGCUCCUCCACCCUUCAGCCUGGAAAAUGCCUGUGUGACCCCUGACAGCAAAAGGGUUCCUUCCUGAGGCUGUCACACUGCUCCUCUCCGGGAGGGAGCUGAGGAAGGGCAUCCUCAGCUGUGCCAGCAUCCCAGAGCUUCAGGAGGAAGAGCAGCAGCUCUCUUCCUGGGUGCCAGCAGGGGAGGCUCUUGAUGUCUUCUGUGUCUGUCUGUCCCCUGGGCAGGGGUUUGUAUCACCUGGCAAUUGUUCCUUUUCUUCCAUUUCCUGAAUAAAGUGCCAUUUUGUGGGAUGGG